UACGACUACAUAUCAGGCAUAUCAAUAAGCGGAGGAAAAGAAACUAACUAGGAUUCCCUCAGUAACGGCGAGUGAAGCGGGAAGAGCUCAAAUUUGAAAUCUUCAAGGUUUUACCUUGACGAAUUGUAGUUUAAAGAAGUGUUUUCUGUUGGAGUUUUGGUAAAAGUUCUUUGGAAUAGGACAUCAUAGAGGGUGAGAAUCCCGUAUUUGACCAUUAUUUCCAGCUUUGUGAUACACUUUCAAAGAGUCGGAUUGUUUGGGAAUGCAGUCCAAAAUGGGUGGUAAAUUUCAUCUAAAGCUAAAUAUUGGCGAGAGACCGAUAGCGAACAAGUACCGUGAGGGAAAGAUGAAAAGAACUUUGAAAAGAGAGUUAAACAGUACGUGAAAUUGUCAAAAGGGAAGCGUUUGACACCAGUGUUGUUUCUAGCGAAAAUCAAUUUAUGAUGGCUUGAUGCUAAGCUUUAAGACUUUAUCCGCUUGUUGUUUAGUUUUCUUGUCUUUGUGAAUGCACUUUUCGUUGAACAAGUCAACAUCAAUUUCUUUUGCUGUAAAAGGGUAAGAGGAAGGUAGCUUCGGCUUCGGUUGAAGUGUUUAUAGCCUUUUAUCUCUGCAGUCGGAGAGAUUGAGGUCUGCAGCGUAGACUCUUCGGGGUUAGAUACGUCGGUGCUAAGCUAUAGCUUUUCAUAGACAACUUGUUGACUAUGUUUAGUCAUGUGGCUUACCCGCUGGCGCUAUUUUACCUACGCUUAGGAUGUUGACUGAUAUGUAGUCGU
This 773-nucleotide ribosomal RNA is filed under the name uncultured Neocallimastigales. Its description in RNAcentral is "partial large subunit ribosomal RNA". It matches the Rfam family "Eukaryotic large subunit ribosomal RNA", at positions 24 to 643 of the family's 3401-position model. The record is from RNAcentral. Lineage: Eukaryota; Fungi; Neocallimastigomycota; Neocallimastigomycetes; Neocallimastigales.